AAGUCAAAUAAUUACUUCAAAUAGCUGGUCUUACUGGCAAAUUGUUUAGUGGCAAACAUGGUUUUCUGAAU
Molecule: small nucleolar RNA, 71 nt
Organism: Pongo abelii (Sumatran orangutan)
Lineage: Eukaryota; Metazoa; Chordata; Mammalia; Primates; Hominidae
Source: Ensembl